GGCAAGCGGCGGAGACCACUUGCUCGUGGUGUGAGCCAUGGCAAGAAGUCCAAUGUUUCGCAUUGUGAUCCUGGUGCCUCACAGAGUUGUGUUAGUGAUGACGACUUUGUCUUGCCACCUUUGGCCUUCCUUGCUAGGUUGCAAGAAGACUCGGUGUGGAAUGCCCCCGAUGAUGAGCUGAAUGCCAAAGAGGAUGCAACGUUUCCUCGAGUCAAGACUAGGACACGACUUUUAUUUUGGUUGAGGCUCUUAGAGACUUGUCAUCUCAGAAGAAGAAUGAUAUUACAGGCCUCGGUUUUGGCUCGUUAGACAUGUAUUUUCCACUACGUACUUCCCGAGGUUCUCACAUGAUGUUGAUUAGACAUGUAAUGUUUCCAUUUUUGGUGCGGUGGUACUUUUUGCACACAAUUUUGAUUACUUUUGACAGUUUAUGUUAAUCUACAACCUAUGCGUAUGAUCCGGUUGCUUGGUUUUUGUGAAAUCCCUUAUCUAAAUUAGUGUAUUCGUGC
Molecule: long non-coding RNA, 509 nt
Organism: Ipomoea nil (Japanese morning glory)
Lineage: Eukaryota; Viridiplantae; Streptophyta; Magnoliopsida; Solanales; Convolvulaceae
Exons: 2
Source: RefSeq, a predicted model, not a curated record